CUGAGUGGCAUCAGCAAUGGCAAAUUACUAUAAACCAAUCAGAGAAUGAAAUGACUUAAAGCUGGGCUUCAGUAUCAUCAAAGCCAUUCUUUCCUGAUUCUGCACCUGGAUUCCAGCAAGUUAUGAGGAUGAAUCUAAAUGAAAUAAAUGGAAGGAAAAAGAGUCCCAGAUGUUUGUAGAGAGCAUGUAUAAUUACACUGAGUAUAAAUGAGAAAAUUCUAGCAGAUACGUACAUUGACUUCUGAAAAGAUAAAGAGGCUUCUGUUUUCUUUAUAAGUAAGUAUUGAAAGACAUUCAUUUCCGGAUAGCAAUAUCAUAUUAUCACAAAGAAUAGCCUCAAACACACAUACUUAAACAUUAAGAUUAAUAUGAUAUUACUAAAAGACAGCAUACCCACAUAUCCCCAAUAUGUUUUUUACAUUAGGAAAGAUAAUUCACAGAAAACACAUCUAACACACACCUGACAGACUCACA
This 474-nucleotide long non-coding RNA is filed under the name Homo sapiens (human). RNAcentral's name for it is "HSALNT0329114". The record is from RNAcentral. Lineage: Eukaryota; Metazoa; Chordata; Mammalia; Primates; Hominidae.